GUUAGGAAUAUUGGACAAUGGGCGAAAGCCUGAUCCAGCCAUGCCGCGUGAACGAUGAAGGCCUUCGGGUUGUAAAGUUCUUUAGCCGAUGAUUAUAAUGACUGUAGUCGGAAAAUAAGCCCCGGCUAACUUCGUGCCAGCAGCCGCGGUAAUACGAAGGGGGCGAGCGUUAUUCGGAAUCACUGGGCGUAAAGCGUGCGUAGGCGGUCUCGUAAGUUAGGAGUGAAAGCCCAGGGCUCAACCUUGGAAUUGCUCUUAAAACUGCAAGGCUAGAAUCUCGGAGAGGAUAGCGGAAUUUCCAGUGUAGCAGUGAAAUGCGUAGAUAUUGGAAGGAACACCAGUGGCGUAAGCGGCUAUCUGGACGAGUAUUGACGCUGAGGCACGAAAGCGUGGGGAUCAAACAGGAUUAGAUACCCGGGUAGUCC
RNAcentral lists this ribosomal RNA (425 nucleotides) under uncultured bacterium. Its description in RNAcentral is "partial 16S ribosomal RNA". It matches the Rfam family "Bacterial small subunit ribosomal RNA", at positions 354 to 796 of the family's 1533-position model. The record is from RNAcentral.